This 253-nucleotide ribosomal RNA is filed under the name uncultured bacterium. Its description in RNAcentral is "partial 16S ribosomal RNA". It matches the Rfam family "Bacterial small subunit ribosomal RNA", at positions 524 to 776 of the family's 1533-position model. The record is from RNAcentral.
UACGUAGGGUGCAAGCGUUGUCCGGAAUUAUUGGGCGUAAAGAGCUCGUAGGCGGUCUGUCGCGUCGGCUGUGAAAACCCGGAGCUCAACUCCGGGCCUGCAGUCGAUACGGGCAGACUGGAGUUCGGCAGGGGAGACUGGAAUUCCUGGUGUAGCGGUGAAAUGCGCAGAUAUCGGGAGGAACACCAAUGGCGAAGGCAGCUUGCUGGGACGGUACUGACGCUGAGGCGCGAAAGCGUGGGGAGCAAACAGG